RNAcentral lists this transfer RNA (113 nucleotides) under Aspergillus heteromorphus CBS 117.55. It matches the Rfam family "tRNA". Rfam says of the family: Transfer RNA (tRNA) molecules are approximately 80 nucleotides in length. Their secondary structure includes four short double-helical elements and three loops (D, anti-codon, and T loops). Lineage: Eukaryota; Fungi; Ascomycota; Eurotiomycetes; Eurotiales; Aspergillaceae. The record is from Rfam by way of RNAcentral.
GGCAAGAUGGCCGAGUUGGUCUAAGGCGUCAGGUUAAGGUUCACCUUAAUAAUUCAGCUUCCAAGCUUCCUGAUCAUGGUUUCAUGGCGUGGGUUCGAAUCCCACUCUUGUCA